Russula earlei is the source of this 81-nucleotide non-coding RNA. Lineage: Eukaryota; Fungi; Basidiomycota; Agaricomycetes; Russulales; Russulaceae. The record is from the annotation of a GenBank genome assembly.
GCACUGGUGGGGUAACGGUAACCUUGUUCAUUCCCAUAUCUAUGUGAUGAGCAGCCCUGGGUUCGACUCCCAGUCAGCGCA